Molecule: small nuclear RNA, 144 nt
Filed under: Suricata suricatta (meerkat)
Lineage: Eukaryota; Metazoa; Chordata; Mammalia; Carnivora; Herpestidae
Description: U2 spliceosomal RNA (ENSSSUG00005021223.1)
Rfam family: U2 spliceosomal RNA (bases 1-99)
About the family: U2 is a small nuclear RNA (snRNA) component of the spliceosome (involved in pre-mRNA splicing). Complementary binding between U2 snRNA (in an area lying towards the 5' end but 3' to hairpin I) and the branchpoint sequence (BPS) of the intron results the bulging out of an unpaired adenosine, on the BPS, which initiates a nucleophilic attack at the intronic 5' splice site, thus starting the first of two transesterification reactions that mediate splicing.
Source: RNAcentral
AUCGCUUCUCAGCCUUUUGGCUAAGAUCAAGUGUAGUAUCUGUUCUUAUCAGUUUAAUAUGACCUAUGAUUUUUGACAAGAGUGCCAAAACUAUCCCAUGGGGAAAGAUUAGGCUUUUCAAUAAAUAGUAGUGGAUGGCCAUAU